Molecule: ribosomal RNA, 496 nt
Filed under: uncultured bacterium
Lineage: Bacteria
Description: partial 16S ribosomal RNA
Rfam family: Bacterial small subunit ribosomal RNA
Source: RNAcentral
ACGAACGCUGGCGGCGUGCCUAAUACAUGCAAGUAGAACGCUGAAGAGAGGAGCUUGCUCUUCUUGGAUGAGUUGCGAACGGGUGAGUAACGCGUAGGUAACCUGCCUUGUAGCGGGGGAUAACUAUUGGAAACGAUAGCUAAUACCGCAUAACAAUGGAUGACACAUGUCAUUUAUUUGAAAGGGGCAAUUGCUCCACUACAAGAUGGACCUGCGUUGUAUUAGCUAGUAGGUGAGGUAACGGCUCACCUAGGCGACGAUACAUAGCCGACCUGAGAGGGUGAUCGGCCACACUGGGACUGAGAAACGGCCCAGACUCCUACGGGAGGCAGCAGUAGGGAAUCUUCGGCAAUGGGGGCAACCCUGACCGAGCAACGCCGCGUGAGUGAAGAAGGUUUUCGGAUCGUAAAGCUCUGUUGUAAGUCAAGAACGAGUGUGAGAGUGGAAAGUUCACACUGUGACGGUAGCUUACCAGAAAGGGACGGCUAACUACGUG